RNAcentral lists this ribosomal RNA (467 nucleotides) under uncultured bacterium. RNAcentral's name for it is "partial 16S ribosomal RNA". It matches the Rfam family "Bacterial small subunit ribosomal RNA", at positions 29 to 507 of the family's 1533-position model. The record is from RNAcentral.
ACGAACGCUGGCGGCGUGCUUAACACAUGCAAGUCGAACGGAAAGGCCCUGCUUUUGUGGGGUGCUCGAGUGGCGAACGGGUGAGUAACACGUGAGUAACCUGCCCUUGACUUUGGGAUAACUUCAGGAAACUGGGGCUAAUACCGGAUAGGAGCUCCUGCUGCAUGGUGGGGGUUGGAAAGUUUCGGCGGUUGGGGAUGGACUCGCGGCUUAUCAGCUUGUUGGUGGGGUAGUGGCUUACCAAGGCUUUGACGGGUAGCCGGCCUGAGAGGGUGACCGGCCACAUUGGGACUGAGAUACGGCCCAGACUCCUACGGGAGGCAGCAGUGGAGAAUAUUGCACAAUGGGCGGAAGCCUGAUGCAGCAACGCCGCGUGCGGGAUGACGGCCUUCGGGUUGUAAACCGCUUUCGCCUGUGACGAAGCGUGAGUGACGGUAAUGGGUAAAGAAGCACCGGCUAACUACGUG